UGAUUCGAUUCCAUCUGGCAACCCUGGUAGUUCUGUUAUAUUUCAGGUUAAAUAUAAAUUUCAACACACAAGAAUAUAUCACGUUACAGGACAUCCUCAGGCACCAGUCUACAUUAGUUGUCCUUUGAGCACUUUGAAACUUAUCAUCACACAGGCUUCCGAGAGACCUACGGCAACAUUAAAGGUGAGUACUGGUCACACCUUCCGUGUGACAACAAUCCCUCGUAAUCUUCACCUGUCUGGGCUAUGGAGGGAAAAAUAAAUCCAGGCUUUAUGAACUUUAUGGCCAUAAUUCUAAAAGAUAUGUUUCACACAAAAACAAACCAGCUUUUCACACAAAGAACACCACAGACACACUAUGAAGCAUGGUGGCGGUAGCGUCAUGCUAUGGGGCUGCGUCUCUUCAGCUGGGAAAAUACUUGUUGGUUGCUAUAACACGUUAAACAUAGAAAAUGAUCCGACACGCUCGAUCUAGCCCUCAUGAUUUAUACCCUUUAAAGGAAUGUUCUCUUCUUUUGUCGGAUUACACAGCGUUUCAUUUACUUGGAUUUUCAGUUGUCACGAGCAAUGGAAAUUAUUCUUCUUAAUAAAACAGUAUCACGGUAACAUUAAUUCAGGGAGGUUUAUUGUGUUUAUCAAGAACAUUGUAUUUGUAGAGCCUUUCUGAUUCUCACUGACAAGUAUAGUGGUCAACUUCAGCCAUAGUCGACCCAUCGCAAAUCACAGGCCAUGAUAUUCCCAUAAUAUAAUCACGAAGUUUGGGAACGAGCCGUUCGAGGGCCGAAAGAGUCGACUCUUAUUGGUGAAGCUGUGAACGAUUUGACUCACCGGAAAGAGAGAGUGUUCCCAUCACCAGCCUCAGCCCAGCUAACAUCUUUUUUUUAAAGCUGUUUUCUCCUAUUCAUGUUUUUCCCGGCUCCCUCCUGCGUCUCGCCGUGUUGUUUUCGGCCUGAAUUCCUCAUUCGCGACUAUUGAUUCGCCUUUGUUCGCUGUCUGACAGGUUCUCCACUCGGCUACGACCAGGGAUCGUGUAUGAAGCUGGAAUAAACCUCUGUUGGAGGACGUACACGGCUCUCCUGAGUACAGCAUGUUAUAGCUCUGGUAUAGAGGUGAUAAAACUGAGCUACUCUGGGCGAUGGAAUCUGAUUAGCAUUGAACAGGUGGGCGGACGGCCAUGGUAGCGCAGCAUGAUGUUGAAGGAGCGGG
This is a long non-coding RNA of Ictalurus punctatus (channel catfish), 1206 nucleotides long. RefSeq lists it as uncharacterized. The record is from RefSeq and is a predicted model, not a curated record. The transcript is spliced from 2 exons. NCBI's taxonomy places the organism in Eukaryota, Metazoa, Chordata, Actinopteri, Siluriformes, Ictaluridae.